Long non-coding RNA from Magallana angulata, 11141 nucleotides. RefSeq lists it as uncharacterized. The record is from RefSeq and is a predicted model, not a curated record. Lineage: Eukaryota; Metazoa; Mollusca; Bivalvia; Ostreida; Ostreidae. The transcript has 2 exons.
UCAUGAGAUUUUUCUUGUACGUGCCCCCUCCUGCUUUAUCAGAGGGGGGCAUUCGUCCCUCCUCAAAAGAAUCCACAGAGUCAUGUCUCGAUUUUUUCUUCAACGACAAAUCGAGAAUCGGCACAGAAUCUAAAUCCAUAAACAUUUUAUGCACCGUGUGUUAACCUCAGUGUGUAAAAAUUUAUCACAAAUAUCUCUUUUCUCGAGCACACAUGAAAGCAAAAUUGAAAAAAAAAAAUCAAUGGAUAAAACUAAUCAUGUAAGUCUGUUCUUCUCCAUGCAGAUAAAAUGAUUCAUGAUGAUUGAAAGGAAAAACAGUAAAUAAUUGGUCUCCUCAUGCAGACUAGAAUUCCUGUGUCACACUGCCUGGUCGCUGUAGGAAGUGAACACUGCACUCUAUUUACAUAGGAAGUCUCUGUAUGUCUAACCAACCCAUAUUGUUAUAGUCAUUGAGGCCACCGGUCACAUGACUUGUGAUGUAAACUCUGGCAGUGCUCAGGUAGGAAAUCAGAGCUGGGCUAUUUAAAUUUUUCCUGUUUUUCUCGAUACACACACCACAUUACACUGAGGUAGAGCCAGUUGUUUAAAAAAAAAACUCUCAGGUGUGGAAGAAGGUUGUUUUUUUUUUUUAGAGGGGGUGAUCAUAAAACAGGAAAUAGGCGUUCAAUCUGAGGCAGGUAUUUAGCGGCAGCGGGAGUGAUAUGACCUGGAGACCAGAGGGAUUUAGAUAUCAAGCCAAUAUGUCUUAGAUAGCCCAGGUAGAUAGUUGCUACCUAAUUAGAUAAACUAUAGUCAAUAACACUCUGAAGAAGACAAUGAAUGUAGGUUAUCUGACCGGCUCAGCUAUCAGGGCACACAUCAGACAUCGAGACAUUUCUCACUACAGCAGAAAGGGCAUCAACUCUUAAUCAAGUUCAUAAUUAUGUUAUGAAACAAAUGGUUCUAUUAAGUAUCAACCACAGAAAUUAAAAUGCAAAAGAGAGAAAAACUAACUAAGGAUUAAGGUAAAUAUGCGGAGGAAAAAAAAAAUAGUUUCUCGGAACUCAUAAACACAUGAAGUCAAUGUCAUUAGAAUAAAGUUCCCAAUUUUGCUGAUUUUUAUCAAAAGAUCUCUAUGUGCCAGGUUUAGCACUACAGUACAUAGACAUGAUAGAGACAGGAUCUUAAAAAGUGAGACAUUCCACAAUCCACAUGUUGACAACAAGCCCAUUCAAAUAAAACUAAGACAGAGUCUUUUCUUAAGAAGAGAGCCUUCUAUACUGCAUGGUUACAGUGUAGCUGAGUUCAGGACUCUAGGUGGGACCUUCCACAUACCUGAUUGUGGGGGCGGACCUACAAACAGGAACUGUGGGCUGUACGGCCUCGCUGAUAAACCACUGCACCGAGUCAUACCAAACCUUGACACAAAGUUCUAACAACCAGAUAGUGCACCCAAUGCAAGAGGCAAGAAUACCUCUAGGGUCUCUUUAAACAAUGGGCUUUUUAUAUUAUUGUCUUAAAAGCCUAUUUUAAAAAAACUUGAAAAAAGUUAUUUUAAGAGGUGGUUAAUUGCCAUGGCAAAGAGAAAAUUGCCUUCUAUGCCCUCUGUGUCUAUAAUGAACUUGUUGGUACAAAGUUGGUACAAAUUGCCUUCUGUGCCCUCAGUUUCUAUAACAGAUUGAUUGGUACAAAGUUGGUACAAAUUGCUUUCUGGGCCCUCCAUUUCUAUAAUAGACCGGUUGAUACAUGUUCGGUAAGUGAGUGCUGAGACAGUUGAGCUGACUGGUCAUCAGUUAUGUUAACAUAUUUCACACAGAUAUAGAGGUACCUAGUGUGUGACAAUUUUACACUCAUUUUACAGCCCCAGGUUGCUUAUUUUGACAAAUUUAAUUUCUCAUUUCAAAUUUCACACAUUCUUCGUAACGAGUGUCACAAUGUAAAGUGGCCAGAUGAAGAAUGGUCCUUCUACGGUAACCUAUAUGUACAUCCCCACAAUGCCAGUGUACGAACAAGCUUUAAUUAAAUUAAUAGAUGUUCUAAACCACAAAUGAUAUUGUACUCAGAUGGUGCCAGUUCUAUUGUAGGGCUAAUUACAAGUACCACAUCUGUUUAUUUACUGAGUGUCAUGCCAUUAGAAGGCGACACUGCUCUUCCAACUUUAUUUUAGUGUGAUACUUUCAUGUAUGAAGCCACUUUCUUCGUGGUGUCAGGAAUUUAUAACAACUUGUGACACUAACAUUACACUGAAGGGAAAAAAAUGAAACAGGAAGGUCACAAUAUUAGGUAACAAAAUAUGGUGGAAUAAUUAUAUAUUUCGUGAUUGCUCCAUUUUCAUGGUAUUCAUUGGUAGCAUUCUCCACGAAAACAAACGUUAAAGACUUAGUUUUCUUAUCAAAAGUGCAAAACCCACGCAUCCACAAAAUCACAUCCCCACCAAUAAGCAAAAACCCUACACUCCACGAAAAUUGGCCCCCACGAAUUUAAAUGAUUCUACAGUAUCAUGCAUUUCUUAUUUUUUUUCUUCUUCAAAUUGAAGAACAUUUGAAACAGUGUUUGAAGUGGAAAUUAAGUUAAACAGACAUGCACACCUGCAUGUGGGUUUGCAAUAAUGGGUGCUAAAAAGAUUGACUGGCUAAAUGAUCCGGAUGUAGAGCAGUAUUGAACAAUCUACCAGUUCAAUAGACUAUGAGUGUACACAAUGUGACCUACUAAUGCUAGUUUCCUUUUUAUUAUUAUGAAACAGCUGUGAACAUAUCUGGCACAUCUUGAAGUAACAUGUCUUACUUCACUGUUCUACUUUUUAGUUCAUAUGAACUAUUUCAUAUCACAUUCAAUUUUUUGAUUAUUAUUUUUUUGCACCAAACUAAAAAUACAAACAUCUGUGUAUCUGACUCUCAUUACAAUGUAUCAGAUCAUGUUUCAGCACACCAACCUCAAAACAAAAACAGUCUUGACAAAGUUUACCAUGAGAAAAAAAAGAAGAAAAAUAUGGGGUCAAUUAUAGAUCAUAUUUCAGGAACAAUCUACCAUUAAAAAAGGAUAGAAUUUUAAUUUCUAAACUGUUUUCUCAGAUAAUAAAUUUACAAUGAAUUUUGCAGGUCAAAAUAAACCCCGCCAAAUAUGAAUGACAUUGCAAUUGAAAAAGAAAAGGAUUUGACCUUAACCUAGAUGUCCCUUUCUAAUGGGACAGGGGUUUUCCCCCUUUGUUAUAAUCUACCGGUAUAUUGCCAGUUGCUUAGUACAAAGUACAUUACUUUUUACUGUCCAUUAGUUUACUGACUUGAAGUAAUGUCAUAACUUGCAUACAUUGGUUAAUCAAAUGCAACCCACACAAUGUAAAAAUAACCAUCCAAAGAAUAUUUGUCUUUAUUUUUAUUAAGAUCUGAAAGUGAUUAGUGUAACUGGUGGUUCAUGGUGACUUUAUCAAUAGGAGAGGGUACUGCAUGAAUGAAUAACAAAAUGAUUGCCGAGUACAGGAGGUAAAUAACCCCAGGUGCCCCCCUCCAAAACCUCUCUGACUCUAAGAGUGAAUAGGUGUGCUAUUAUAUAGAGCUUAUAUCAAUUGCCUGGAACCAUCACAAAACCCAUUCUGUGUGUUAAUUUUAGCAUUCACAAAGGGGGGAAUAAAAAAAAUCAAGAUUGAUAAAUUCUUGUAAUGCGCCCCUUAUCUUACAGAAAAAAUAACAUGAUAGGUGAGAUAUGAUGAAUGAAAUAUGUGCCAUGCAUACAGAUAAUGUAAAUUUUCAAAAAUAACUUCCGAGAACACGUGAAAUAUUUGGAGAAUGUAAACCCAAAAGCUCUCCAAUAUUAACAUAUCUGGAUCAACACUAGCCAAAGGAAUUGCCGACUGGCAUCACCCCCCUACCUCUCCCCCCAUGGAUGGCACUUGACAGCCCCAUUAGAUCUGAAUACAAAUGUACCAUUUUCAGCAUGCAUUAACUUCACUGUCACUUUCUACAGGUAGGCCAUGCUGAUAGAUAAAUCUUUGUCAGGCCCCCAAGACUUGGACCAAAAGCCAUCCAUCCCCUGUCCAAGACAGCUCAACCCCACAACUGUUAAUGACUAUGAAGUCAGGAAAUGCCUCGAUACUUAUAAACUGUCUGCUCUGAUCACCAAUAUUAACCAAAAAAUUGUUUAAAAGACCCAAAGGCAAAUGUCAGUAGGGUUAAUCUCUUAUUUCUCAUUUUUUUGUAUUUUAGCUGAAUGAAAAUAAAUAAUCGAUAAAUUUCUAGCUUCAGAAGAUUUAAGUAGGUCAUGCUUCUAGAGUUUAUGACCUUGGGCAGUGUGACACAUUAAAUGAGGAGACCAAAGAUUAAAUGCUUACAAAUAACGAAAGAGUUUAGAAUUUCUCCUUACUACCGCUACAAAAAGUUUGUAGUACUGAGGCCACUCUCUGAUUCAUGCAUCAAUCUUCCAUUUUGUUCCAUACAACCCCCCCCCCCCCCCUUUAAAAAAAAGAAAUGAAAAAUGUCAUCCCUAAGAAAUGUUCUCACAGCCAAUAAAACAAUAGCCUUACAGAGAUGAGCAUAAUGAGAUUGUUAUUACGAAAUGAUUUCGUGUUUAAGAUGACUAAAUUCGUGAAGGAGGUCAUUUGAUGUGGGAAUCAUGACUAAACCCUAGAUUGAUGUUCCGCUGGUGGACACGGAUGUUUUGGAGAGGGGAGUAGAGAGAUCUUGAUACAGUUCCCAGCUCCAGCCCUUGUCAGUAGGAAGCCGAGUCAAGGGCCUGAGUCACAGCCCGAUAACCCUGAACACUUCCAUUGUCGGAAAUCUUCAACUUUUCCAUUCCUACAUCCGCAGUACAUGUUUUCCGGAUUUCACCAGUUACUUGACGAAAUAGCGAAAAAGAUCAGCCAAGUGCACCAUGUGGGUGUUUUUCUGUGCUGCCUCGUAUUUCAAUAUAUGUCACCGCUAUGAGAGGAGUGCAUUGUUCCCCUCAUAAACAGCAAACAUUUUUCUGAACCUUUUAAUAAAAACAAAUAUUUCCUGACUUUUCCUCGUGUUUUAUCAUUAGUCAUGUGGACAAGCAUGAUCUCCCCGCUCGCUAUAUAGACAUUGGGUGGAGUCACAUGUAUAUUCUGUUACCUACUUCAUAUCAGCGUAAAACCUGGCACCACUUCCUAGAGUCCAACAUUUUUAUUACGCUUUAUUUACUUGUUUAUUUCCUCUCUCCGCGGAUGGAAUUGAUCAUAUACUUGUAAUUAUGUCCUGGUGAUCAUUAUUUUUUUUUUCUGUUCGAGAACUAAACAAGGACUUUCAUGAUUGGCUGAUAAGCACAGAAACACUUGUUAGAUAACCGAAUUCAGGAUCUACACAAUACAGUACUUUAACUCUGAGGUCAUUGUCACUUGAUCUUGUUUUUAUCACUAUCACAUGAAAUGACUAAAACAAACUACUUGUACGGUUUAGACAAUCAACGUUGUUUGAAGUGCUUCAAUUAUUGCCCAAAAAUAUGAGGUUAUGUUUCUCCACAAUUUGCACAUUACUUCAAUGUCUCUUGUUUUUUUUUUUUCAUAGAAAAACUCUUAAAAUACUUGAGCAGAAAACUUAAUGAUUGAGUCUCUGGAUUUGGAAAUCCUAGAUAGGAAGUGUAGAUGAAUAAUGACCAGGGCACUUUCUACAGUGAUUAUUUUACAUCACGAUAAAACAACUCUUUAUCAUUCUUGUCUACAUCUGGCCUUUCAAGCAUUCACCUUAAAACACUAGUACAUCUACCAGUUAAAACACGUCCUGCACAGAUCUUUUGGUACAGCUACGUAACCAAGGAAGGGUUUUCACUGUCAUUUUAAAAUGUCCAUAAAAACAGGUUUUAUGCAAUGUAUUUGAAAAGAAGAUGGAUAGGGUACAAAUUACUAAUAUAAUAGGACUUCUCAAUCCUAUCGAAAUGACUGCGAAUUGUAAAACCAAGGAAGGAUUUAAAUUACACAGGCUUUUAAAAAUAUUUCCUAAACAAGGUCUUUGGCAGGCGAUCAAACUUGAUAGUAAUCUGCAUAUCCAUACAGGGUAGUAGAGUGUGGACGGGCAGCAAAUUCUUUGCCAACUCCGUCUAUUGUGCCGUCGGACAAUUACACCCUGCUUGUCGACAUUCUCCUUGGAUGACUGCAUGUAUACGGAAUCUAAUUCAAUGGCUUCAAACGGGUAGAAGUCUGAUAAAUGUAAAGAUAGAACAUUUGUCAUGAAGACAAACUCUUUGACCUCUAACAUAUCUCUCUUCGGGUCAAGGUCAGAGGCGAGCUAAAUUCUGAUUUGUACUUUUAUUACUCAUCAAACUGGUGACCCAGUAAACUAAAGGAUUCUAUAACUUACGUCAGAGCUUUUAUGAAUUGCAAAUAACAGACUUUUUAAAUCACAUACCACCAUUGUUGAGCAUACAAUCUUGACAUAUAUGGUUAUUAAUAUAACAAAUCAGUUUUUAGUGUUUGACUGUUACUAAGGGUCUUUGAAAAACAGAUCAGAUAAAAGAAUUACAUAGUCACGUUGUAAAAAAAAGAAGAUAUUUCAUUAACUAACAUGAGAGAAAGUAAAAUUUUACAGCAUUUCUCUGAGAUCAUCUAUGUGUGGAGAGGGGAGCCUGCGAACCAGAAGAGGAAACACAGUAAUUAGAGUUUACGGAAACCCUAGAAAGGGAGAUAAUUGAGUAUACGGAAGUUUCCCCUCACAUCAGAUGGCAACAUCCGCAAACAAAAGAUGUACAAUACUGAUAGCUAAAGAGCCGAUUGCUGUACGAAUUAGCCUAAAUAUAGACACUGCACGCCACACCGCUGUCUAAAGUACAUCCCCUUACACAACCUUUUCUUCAGUCCUGCCCAGUAAGCAAGAAGUGAUUCAGUUUUACGUGCUGAAGAACAAAAUAGUGACUAUCUACGAUUUAGAAAAUAAAGUCUUAUCUACUGUACAUGUAAUGAGCGUGUACUGAUAAUUUGUCAGACUUCCUCACUUGGUGACCAUAGCCCUCACUUCAAGCUCUGCGCUGUUCAUUAGAGAUAAUAUAAGAGGGAACACUUGAGAGACCCUCGUUUAGUAAACAAAGAAUUAUGCAAUUAUUUGGAAAAACUUCCUGCUUUCUUUUGUCUCAGAUUUUAAUGUAUGAUAUUAAUUUCCUAAUAUUUCCUGUGUAUAUAUGAUCCAUACAUUCAUUAGGAGUUUUAUGGUAGGAAGUUUUCAGUCAGAUCAGCUUGAUUCAAAGUGUCGAGACUUUCUAAACCAUGCAAAACAAGGCCACUGAAACUCAUUUACAUUCACUGGUCAUCUUAACAUUUUCUGUUUUAUUUUGGAUGCACCCACAAUAUGAUUAAAUGUACUUCAUUGGCAAUCAUUUUGCAGGCAUACCACAUUGACCUAGAUAUCAUGCAAUGGCUUGAUGUAAUAUCAAACGUCGAACAUACUCUUUUUUAUGCAUUUACAAGAUUUCAUAUUAUAGCCUUGCUUAUCACCAGCUGAUAGCUUGAUACUGCAUCCUUGCAUAACAAAAGCUUUUUUGAACAAAUCAACAUUUUUUUUCUGAUUGCGUCCUUGGAUAGACAAUUUUAUCAUGGCUUCAUUAAGACUUUCUACACAAUCAUGAAAAAUGAAAUAGAUUGUAUUAAAAGUUAAUUUUUUUCACUAGUGUAUUUUUUCAUCAUUGAUUUCAAACUUACGGCUUCGAGAAUAAAGAAAUAACCAAUAACAAAAUGCAAUCUUUUCUGUAGCACUAAAUAUCUAAAGAUUACACCCAAAACUAUUAAACGAACUUUGCUUAUGUCAAUCUGCGGGACCUCUGAUGACAGAGUUUUCUUUUUGAUAAACAAACGGCUGAUUAUCUUCAGAAUUGGAAAAAUGACGAUGCUGCACAGCAGCAGCAUAUUAAUGCCUAGAUGCUGCAUGAUCUGACUGGAAACUUUGCAGGCAAAAAAAAAGAAGAAAUAUAAAUAAUAUAAAUCAUGUACUUAUAUUAUGAACAUGUACAAAUAAAAUCAUGUGAAAAAAAAACGUAAAAUUCUUUUUAUAAUAUUUUUUGGUUCAAAGGAAGUAUGCUACUGGUAAUGUAAGGCAGACUUAUUUUUCGGUCAACAAAUUAUGUUUGACAGCAAUAUGUAUAAUUCUCAACAGACUUUCAUCAAACUUGGCAUAGCUAUACUGCCACAAUCACAAAUUAAUUACACCACUGCUUAAGAGUUUUCCAUUCAUUAAACAGAUGUAUGUGUGCUAUGUCUGACCGAAGCUGCUGACUGUGUGAUAAUCGUGUUUGCUUCACACACCAUCAUGAGUACUAGCUGUCUCUAAUUUUCAGUCGCCCCCUCCCCCAACCCUAGCAUGCUUAUAUUUAUACAAGUAUUACGAAAACAUACAACCCUUUAGGUGACAGGCUAAGACCGAAAGUUCACAAUAAGACUGCUCGUUUCAUCAUCUUCUGUGAUGUAACAGGAAAAUAAAUUGCACAUGCCUUAAUUUCAGUGACAGCAAAAAAAUUCUGUUUUUAAAUUUGUAGCUCAGAUAUUACACUAUCUGUUCUCUGACAUCAUCAAGAUUGCCUGUAAUUAAAUUAAAACUUUGCAACAUAUAGGCCAGAUUAAAACAUCUAAGAAAAUAAUUGAAACUUUGAACUUUACAUUUACGCAGUUCAAAGACAAGUAGAUACAACCCAGAGCAACUUUCUUUAUCAAGUUACAGAUUAGUUAAAAGACUCUCAUUUCAUGAUAAUAUCAAUGCUUAAACAAAUUCUUUUGACAAAAAAGCUAUCAAAAAUUCAAAGAGCUGCACGUCAUGUGAAUUUCUGUUAAAUCUUCCAGUUUAACAUGUCUUAUUGCAUUUUUACAGCCAGAAUUUUAUCAUACAUUUCAAUUCAAAUGUAGAUUAUUUGUCAUUGAGCAUCACACCUACAUUCAAUUUACUUUUAACAAAACAUUCAUUAAUCAAUUUACAGGUUGAGAAGACAACAUAAUAGGGUCUGCAGUCAGUGUGUUGUACUAUGUAUAAGGUUAAAGGAAGUUGAACAGACAGAUAACCAUAGAUCAGUGACCUACAAUACAUAACCCAAGACACACAAAUGUCGCAGAAGUCAGAAAACCCAAAACUGCCCACUGAUUCUUUGGCAACCAUUAAAAAAAACCCCUUACACAAUGUCAUUUUCUGGGAAUGGCCCGACGAUGCUUUGCAACUAUACAAUGAUAUUGAUCAUUCUGUUUUUAAAUCAGUACCAAGCCACCUUAAAACAGAUAAAAAAAAAUCAUCAGAGGCCUUGACUCCAGAUCUGACACACAGUUGUGACUCCAUCUAUCAUGUUUUUAUGAAUAUAAUAGAAUCAAAAAUGGUAUUCCUCGUAUCAAAUAGGCUUAAGAUGGAUGACAAAUUUUCAAUAUGAACUUUAAGGGAAUCAGUUUGAAAUCCCUUAAGCUACAUGUCCUACAUUUACAGAGUAAAUAACAGAAUUUUUUUGAAUUGCUCGACUUCAAAUGUGGCAACAUCCUCUCUAUAGUGUGAACAAAAGUGACAAACAAAAUCCCAUAUACGGUGAAGGUAUAAAUUGAAAUCAAGUAUAGCAGCUUAUUUUCCAGGUUAAUGACGUUGAACAAGAUUAGUCAACCUACAUGUGCUACAAAAAUAAAAAGAUUUAUGAUAAAUUAAUGAUAAAUAUAAGUUUUAACAGAGAUCUAAAUCUUAAAAUAUCAGACAUUAAAAUCUGCAGGGAUUCCUUGUACCAUUUUUUCUUUACAUUUUUUUCUUUCCACAAUGCUUAUUUUUCACAUUAAAGUGAAAGGACCUGUUGCUAUGCGACAAAGCACCGAUGAGAUCUUAAAACCAUAAGUUUUCUGCUGAGACAAUGACAGCCGUGUUGUCAAGGCAACCUUCCAAUGCAGACAAUUUUUCCAUGAAACGAACUUUCAUUAAACCUGAUCUUUUUCAAAAUGAGAUCUUUUGGGAACAUUACUGAGAUUCUACAUACUAGGGUAUUGAUUUUUUUACUUUAAGGACAGUGAUAGCAUCUUGAUUAUUACUAAACUCAAAAGGGGGAAAGUUUUUCCAAGUUGUGCUAAUUGUCUCAACAGAACAUGUCAGAUUAAGAGAGGUAACUCUAAAAAUGCAAGCAGCAUUUCUGCUAACUUUUCGGUAUGAAAACCCAAUAUUGAAUUUUGGUUCCUCAAAACCUUUGGGAAAAUUUUCUUAAUUCAGCAUGAGUCAGUAUAUUCUAUAAAUAAAAUACAGUAUUCAAGAUUGAGUACAAAUUUAGAAAGACAGAGAAAACAGCAAUUUUGGGUUUAAAAAAUAUAAUUAAAAAAAAAAAUUUAAAAAGUUUUUUAAAAUUAUUGCAUUGUAUCUAAUAUUUAAAAACAAAUCCUUGACAACUACACAUUUAAUUUUAUGAUCUACAGUUCAGAUGUCUAAUACUAUCCAAUAGUUAUCAAUAUAGAAGCACCAGCUCAUAUGAUCAGAUACCUUGAAUGUUUGUGACAGCCAGUACAUCAAUAACAUAAGGAGAUUUAAAUUGCAUUAAAAAAAUUUCACAAUCAUAAAAAUCAAAAGUCACAGACUGCAGAUGACCAAUAAAUCUAAAUUAUGUCUCCAUUUCAACAGAUUACCAUAACCAAGCAGAAAAUACCUAAUAUACUAAUGAUUAAUGAAAGUUCUUUUUUUUUUCCAUAUCUAAAAAAAAAAAACCAAUUACAGACCAAGUGAACUGCAAACAGAAAAAAAGCCAACUCUAAAGUCUAAAGUUUUACAGCAAGAACGUGUCAUCCAAAGAGUGUCAUUUUAUUGAUCAAAGAAAAUUAACUCUUACAUGCCUGGUAAAUGAUCAAGAACGGUAACCACUGACACAACACAAUCCUUUGUGCAAACAUUUUUAUAUUUUUUAUUUUUCAAAGAGAGAUUUUGUAAAUGCAUGAUGAAAUUUAUUUUUUUUCUGUCCAUGCAAUAAUAAAUAAAAACUUGAAAGAUUUGAGACCAGUUGCUGCAUUAUUUUAAAAAUUAAAAAAUAGAAAGGUAAAGGUAAAGGAGAUAGAGGAAUGGAAAUAGAGUUUUUGACACAACAUACAUGCGCGGAUCCAGAAAAUUUUUCCAGGGGGGGUCCGAAGGAUAAUUGUGUUUGCCAGGGGGGGUCCGAGGCAUAUUUUCGCGAUAAUUUUACUAUGUAAAUUUAAUAAAUUUUCAUUUUCCAGGGGGGGUCGGGACCCCCCCGACCCCCCC